RNA transcript from Onychostoma macrolepis, 4196 nucleotides. It is a transcript of the gene named transmembrane channel-like 1, with no coding region annotated. The transcript is spliced from 19 exons. The record is from RefSeq and is a predicted model, not a curated record. NCBI's taxonomy places the organism in Eukaryota, Metazoa, Chordata, Actinopteri, Cypriniformes, Cyprinidae.
CAUAAUUCAUCCUUUGAAACCCAUUUUAAAAUCAGACAUUGCAUUACCAUGGAAAAGGUACAUUAAAAUCAUGUUACAAAAUAUUUUCAUUCAUGAAUUAUAAAAAUUUAAGUUUGGAUAGUGCACUAUAAUGUCUACGUUCAAAACUGUGAGUGACAGUUAAGGGGUUAAUGCUGUAAUUUUACAAUGAUUGCACCAUUUCCUGCUAUCUGAAGCAGUAUUUAGAGUAACUUUUACAUUAUAAGUGAAAGUGCAGCUCACAAUGACCCUGGUUACCCUGCGGCACUAAUCGUCUAUUAUAUCCCUCUUUGCAGUUUCUAUAGUCGGUCAUUAGACCAUCAUCCUCUAUUUUAGCUUGGUACUGUGUGACCCCCUUUCUUUUUGAAAAAGAAAAAAAAAAGUCAUAAUUCUGUUGAAUAAUUCAAAGGGGUGAAAUUGAGAGGCUCUAGAGUUUCGACUGGUUAUUGUUCCUGGGCAAGGUCGCUGAAUGCUAGUAAAAGGUGAACUCUUCAUGCACGGUACUCAUCACCUGCCAGGUUCUGUUCAGCCAGGCUAUGGUCCACUGCUACAACAUCAUCGCACACACACACACCCACAUACACUCGUCUAUGCAUGGACACACACACGUGAGGUCAACCACAUGCAAAGAGUGAAGGCCACUCGGGAGGAGGAUGCCACGGCACAAACUCAUCGCAUCUGAAAGUGACGUGAGCAUUGAGGUGGAUGAAGGGAAGGAUAAUGAAUUCAGCCUUUACUACGUGGAAGUAGAGGAAAACUCUAAGGGAGGUAAGGAGAAGCAGGCGACACGAGAUGGCAAACGGAGAAGAGCGAGAAAUGGUGAAGUUAGCAGGAGAAGAGCUUCAGAGAAGAGAACAACUAAUAUGGCCAAUAAAAGAGCGGAAAAGAAACAUGAGAAACACCACAAAACAACAAGGAAAGAGGGUGAGAGACACAGAAAAAGGCAAAGAAGAAGGAUUGCAGAUGAAGAGGAGGCUGAGGAAGAAUCCAGCAAAGAGAAAAAGAACAUUAAAAAUGAAAGAACCAAGACACUAAAACUGGAAGAUGAGAAGGAAAAAGAUGUGAAGAAAAAGAGAAAGAAGCAUGUUAAAAAUCAGGAGGACGAUGCAAAUCCUGGAAAGACAAAACAGAAAGAUUGUCAAGACGUUCCCUUGAAGGAAAAGAAAAAGAAAAGAAAGAAGCCAGAGACUACCUCAGAAUCGGAGUCACAAUCUGAGUCACAAUCUGAAUCGAACUCUGACUCCGAGGCAAAAGACAAUCAGGCAGUGGGAGUUUUGGGGUCUCUGACCCCCGAGGAGCUGGAAAAGUUAAAAGAAGCAGUGGACGAAAGGAAAAAGCUGAUCACCACAAUAAAAGGAAAACCCUGGCCCAUGAAGAAAAAACUAGUUAUCCUUAGGGAGUCACAGGAGUUUGUGGAGAAAUAUGAAGGGGCUUUGGGAAAAGGCAAAGGCAGGAAGCUGUACGCCUACAAGGUCUUGAUGAUGAAGAAAUGGAUGAAGUUUGAACGUGACCUUGAGAAUUUCAAGACUGCCUGCAUCCCGUGGGAGAUGAAGAUAAAGGAAAUAGAAAGUCAUUUUGGUUCAUCAGUUGCCUCUUACUUUAUAUUUCUGAGGUGGAUGUAUGGCAUCAAUAUGAUUUUAUUUGGACUGACAUUUGGGUUAGUAAUGGUUCCAGAGGCUCUUAUGGGGAAACCAUAUGGUAGUAUGCCCAGGAAGACAGUGCCCAGAGAGGAAGAGGCCAGUGCUAUGAAUUUUGCAGUCUUGUGGGAUUUUGGGGGCUAUGCUAAGUACUCUGUCCUCUUCUAUGGCUACUAUAAUAACCAGCGGGCCAUUGGUUGGCUCAAAUUCCGCAUGCCCCUGUCCUACUUCCUGGUGGGAGUGGGUACAGUGGCGUAUAGCUACAUGGUGGUAAUCAGGACUAUGGCCCGCAAUGCAAAUGAAGAAGGUGGCGGAGAUGACACCAGUUUUAAUUUCAGCUGGAAGACAUUUACUAGUUGGGAUUACCUCAUUGGAAAUCCUGAGACAGCAGACAACAAGUUCGCCUCCAUCACCACUAGUUUUAAGGAGGCCAUUGUGGAGGAGCAAGAGAGCAGAAAAGAUGACAACAUCCACCUGACAAGAUUCCUUAGAGUGCUGGCCAACUUCCUGGUGCUCUGCUGUCUGGCAGGGAGUGGGUACUUGAUCUACUUUGUAGUACGCAGGUCUCAGAAGUUUGCUCUGGAGGGACUGGAGAACUACGGCUGGUGGGAGAGGAAUGAGGUGAACAUGGUGAUGUCUCUGUUGGGAAUGUUCUGUCCGAUGCUGUUCGACGUGAUCAGCACUUUAGAGAACUAUCAUCCACGCAUCGCCCUCCAGUGGCAGCUGGGACGCAUAUUUGCCCUUUUCCUGGGGAACCUCUACACCUUCAUCAUCGCUCUCAUGGAUGCCAUCCAACUAAAGAGGGCAGAAGAGGAGAUUGUGAAGAAGAAUAUGACAAUCUGGCAGGCUAACCUGUACAACGGGACUGUGCCAGACAACUCAACUGCUCCUCCGAUCACAGUGCACCCUGCUGAUGUUCCCAGAGGGCCUUGCUGGGAGACAAUGGUUGGACAGGUACUGGGGAAGAGUAGUUCAGAGUUUGUUCGUCUCAUCAUUUCUGAUACAAUGACGACUUACAUCACCCUGCUUAUUGGGGAUUUCAUCCGUGCCGUACUGGUGCGAUUCCUAAACAAUUGCUGGUGCUGGGAUCUGGAGUAUGGCUUUCCGUCCUAUUCAGAGUUUGACGUCAGUGGGAAUGUUCUGGGGCUGAUCUUCAAUCAGGGAAUGAUCUGGAUGGGGGCAUUCUACGCUCCAUGUCUUCCAGCAUUAAAUCUUCUCCGGCUUCACGUGUCCAUGUACCUGCAGUGUUGGGCGGUGAUGUGUUGUAAUGUGCCUCAGGAACGAGUCUUCAAAGCUUCAGGCUCCAAUAACUUCUACAUGGCCAUGCUGCUAGUCAUCCUAUUCCUCUCUACACUGCCAGCUAUAUACACCAUUGUCUCCUUUCCUCCCUCCUUUGACUGUGGACCUUUCAGUGGGAAAAACCGCAUGUUUGACGUGAUUCAGGAGACCCUGGAGACAGACUUUCCUGCCUGGUUCGGUAAAGUAUUCAGUUAUGCCUCGAACCCCGGGUUGGUGCUGCCCUUUCUUCUGCUCCUGGUCAAAAUGAGGAAAACAAGAAAAAGAACAAACUCGCAGCCUUAAAAGCAGCCAAUGAACUGGAGCAGGCGAGGAAAGCAGGAGAACAACGCAGCAACAGCGCCUCCGAUUUAGGAGUGAAUGAAGAAAGCAGCAGCCUAGAUGAAGCAGGCCAUCACAGACAAGCUGGACAGAAUGGUCGCUUAAUUCACCCCUCACAGAGUCAGCAUGCUCAAAGCUCAGAACCUCCCGUCUCCUCGACCCACACAACUACCAGACCCCCUGCAUCCCGGAGCCACACAGCAUCUGGACAUCUUCCAGGUCACCCACAGCAGCCACAGAAAAACUCUCACUCAAACAGGAGAUAAACCGCACAUAGAUAAAUAGAUGAAUCUCUUUGUUGCAUGCACAACAUUUGGCACUUAUAUGACCAUUUUUAUUUCUUGUUGAUACAGUAUAAAUCCUGGGCCUGGGCCUGCAGCACAUAUCAUGAAUGUCUCAGUAGAGCUCAAGGACUUGAUGGCUAUGUAACUCUAGAAUGAUAAGUCUUAUCUCUGUGAAAGAGAAAUGACUGCUCUCGUUACACGCAGGCCAAACUAGGGUCAAUCUAUUCCUUGAUUUGUUGUUUUUAUAUGUAUUUUUUAGGUUUAGAAAUAUUUGCUUGAUUGUUGGUUUACUUGCCAAUUGCAACUAAUUAUUAAACUACAGUCGAACCAGGGGCGUUUCUAACAUUUCAUCGGUACUACUGCGGCAAGUCUCCCCCAUCAAAAAAAGUGUGCUCAUAUUUUGAUACCCUUUUUAAAAAUCAGUUUUACCUGCAGUACAGGGUUGUUCAUGCAAGCUGCACAUGCAAUAAAGAGCUGCUUCGUCAUUGACAAAUGACAGAACACAUUUGUUAGUUUUGAUUUAUUGAUAUAGGGACUAAUUCUCACUGUUAACUACAGUAGUUGCUUAUUAGCAUGCCUAUUAUUAACAUAUUGGCUGUUUAUUAGUCUUUAUAACGCACAUGUUCUGCAUGACCAUAUU